Molecule: long non-coding RNA, 304 nt
Filed under: Homo sapiens (human)
Lineage: Eukaryota; Metazoa; Chordata; Mammalia; Primates; Hominidae
Description: non-protein coding lnc-ADD3-2:2
Source: RNAcentral
GUCAUCUUGGGUGACCUGAGGUAGCCACAUGAAAUGGCCAGAUUUGACAUCAUCCCUCUUCUGUGCCAGAAGGAACAAUUAGUCCUUCCAUAAAUAGAUCAAUAUUUGCUCAUGCUGUAGACUAUGGAAUCCAACCUGUAGUAUCCUUUCUGCAUGUUGGCACCAAGCCCACCUCAUGAAACCAGCAAUGGGCAUUUUUCUAAUUCUACUUUCAAAGGUCCCAUUAUGGGUAAUAGAAAAGAACAUGAAAAAGUCUAUACCUUUUUUUUUCUCCUGCCAUUUUCCAAAAGUUCAUCUUCAAAAG